UACGGAGGGUGCAAGCGUUAUCCGGAUUCACUGGGGUUAAAGGGUGCGUAGGCGGGCAUGUAAGUCAGUGGUGAAAUCUCAAAGCUUAACUUUGAAACUGCCAUUGAUACUAUGUGUCUUGAAUUUCCUGGAGGUUAGCGGAAUAUGUCAUGUAGCGGUGAAAUGCUUAGAUAUGACAUAGAACACCGAUUGCGAAGGCAGCUGACUAUAGGUAGAUUGACGCUGAUGCACGAAAGCGUGGGGAUCAAACAGG
This 253-nucleotide ribosomal RNA is filed under the name uncultured bacterium. Its description in RNAcentral is "partial 16S ribosomal RNA". It matches the Rfam family "Bacterial small subunit ribosomal RNA", at positions 524 to 776 of the family's 1533-position model. The record is from RNAcentral.